This 376-nucleotide ribosomal RNA is filed under the name uncultured bacterium. RNAcentral describes it as "bacterial SSU rRNA". It matches the Rfam family "Bacterial small subunit ribosomal RNA", at positions 523 to 898 of the family's 1533-position model. The record is from RNAcentral.
AUACGUAGGGAGCGAGCGUUGUUCGGAUUUACUGGGUGUAAAGGGUGCGUAGGCGGCUCUGCAAGUCAGGUGUGAAACCCAUCGGCUUAACUGAUGGACUGCAUUUGAAACUGUAAGGCUUGAGUGGAGUAGAGGCAGACGGAAUUCCCGGUGUAGCGGUGAAAUGCGUAGAGAUCGGGAGGAACACCAGUGGCGAAGGCGGUCUGCUGGGCUUUAACUGACGCUGAGGCACGAAAGCAUGGGUAGCAAACAGGAUUAGAUACCCUGGUAGUCCAUGCUGUAAACGAUGAUUACUAGGUGUGGGGGGUCUGACCCCCUCCGUGCCGGAGUUAACACAAUAAGUAAUCCGCCUGGGGAGUACGGUCGCAAGAUUAAA